Molecule: RNA transcript, 1147 nt
Organism: Polyodon spathula (Mississippi paddlefish)
Lineage: Eukaryota; Metazoa; Chordata; Actinopteri; Acipenseriformes; Polyodontidae
Gene name: alpha-L-iduronidase-like
Exons: 6
Source: RefSeq, a predicted model, not a curated record
UAUUUCAGUCAUGCACAUAGGCCUUAUUAAGAGGAGCAGGGCAUGCACAAGGAAUUUGUUUUCCAAUUGAACAUUUUCAUGGCGUUUUUCUGUUUUAGUUUUUUUUAACCUGAUUUGUACAACGUUGAUACAACACUCAGUCACAUGAUGUUAAAACUUCACUGGACGUGAUUUGCUGGUGUAAUCACUUUUUAUUCAAUUUAGUAGCUGUGCAUUAUUAUCAUAAUAAUAUAAUAGAUUGACAACAUGACAUCAUUGAAACAUGCUGCCUAAGCCCUCCUCUUCCUCAUGAUCAAGCUAACAAGUAUGACCUUAGCAAAGACCAGCAGCUAAAUCUUGCAUACAUCUCUUCAGUCCCACAUAAAGGGACUGAGCAAGUCCGAAUGCACUGGUUACUGGAACUGGUGAGAAGCAAAUAUCAUCAGAUAUUGGAGCCAGUGGGGAAUCUGUGAACAUGACCUUGGGCGUAUUAGCUAGUACUCAUGAGACUGCUGUACUGGUACCUCAGACAGCUGGCAGUCCACCAUACUGAUACGGUCAACCUCAAUCACUACGCCGCACAAUUAGGAGCCUCUUGUUGUGGGAUCCCUUCCUUUCCCCUCUAGUGGUACACUGACGCUGAAAGCAGAGCUUCCAGUUCCCUCACUGUUCCUCGUCCACAUUUGUGCUCAACCCAAAGUUCCUCCAGAUCAGAUAACAGGUUUGAAUAUCAUGUCGCUCACCAAACGACAAGUGGUAAUUGUGUGGAAAUAUGGCAGUCAAUUCAAAGAGAAAGCUGAAGUUUCUGGUUUUUACAGAAUGCAUGCAGUAGACUAUUGGGGUCGACCAGGAGAAUAUUCACUGCCUGAAAAAUACACAGAAGAGCAUUGGAACUUGUCUUUUCUUUUAAAAUAUAUAAUAUAGCAUCUUUUUAGGGAUAUUUUUGGUAUUGUAUAUUGUGAAUACUGUGUAUCGAUAAAGCACCUUUAUUAUUAACUUACUAUGAUUACGUUUAAGAUUCUACAUUGACAAAGCUUGAAUAGACCAGCUAAGAAUGAAUUGACACAAUUGUGGUGUUCUGUCUACCAGAAGUUGUAUAAAAAUAUAUUAAUACCAUUUAAAAAUUAUUGGAACCAACGCUUAUUAUACCAUAAUUCAAUGUAAGAGA